Molecule: ribosomal RNA, 332 nt
Filed under: uncultured eukaryote
Lineage: Eukaryota
Description: partial 18S ribosomal RNA
Rfam family: Eukaryotic small subunit ribosomal RNA
Source: RNAcentral
CCCUUAGAUGUUCUGGGCCGCACGCGCGCUACACUGUUCGACGCAGCGAGUCUUAACCUUGACCGAAAGGUUUGGGUAAUCUUCAGCAAAGUCGAACGUGAUGGGGAUCGAUCAUUGCAAUUAUUGAUCGUGAACGAGGAAUUCCUAGUAAGUGCAAGUCAUCAGCUUGCGCUGAUUACGUCCCUGCCCUUUGUACACACCGCCCGUCGCUACUACCGAUUGAAUGGUUUAGUGAGAUCUCUGGAUUGACGCUGGCUAGGGGGCGACCCUUGGCCAGACUGCUCGAGAAACUGCUCAAACUUGAUCAUUGAGAGGAAGUAAAAGUCGUAACA